This 20-nucleotide small nuclear RNA is filed under the name Arabidopsis thaliana (thale cress). RNAcentral's name for it is "snRNA_06550". Lineage: Eukaryota; Viridiplantae; Streptophyta; Magnoliopsida; Brassicales; Brassicaceae. The record is from RNAcentral.
ACUUAGAAUAUGCUAUGUUG